GCCAUCUCUCAUUCUCGCAUCUGAUCCCCAUCCUGUCGGUUAUUUGUUUUACUCUCCGGGCUCUUUUCUCUUCCCUCAUUUCCUUUUUCUCGCUUCUUCUUUUUGCUCCCCCCUCCCCUCUUCAUUUCGAUCUUCAAAAGAGAAAAGAACCCUUCAAAUUUCGAAGAUUCUCCAUAUAUUCGAAGAUUCUCGUGAUCCUCGACAAACUCGCUGUGAUCGCUUAUCAAAACAGAUAUUUGAUUCUUGAUCUGUAUAGUUGUUGUGCCUGUUUCGGAAACCUUUUCUGGUGUGGUGAAAGAGGAAAGAUGGUUUCGUUGCAAGGACCGGUGAUUUGCCCAGCCGUUCGGAGCAAACAAUUUGGGGUUUACAUGCCACCGGCGAACGGGCCUUUCCCGAGGGCAAAAUUGUAUAGAAGUGAUAUAUGGGGAUAUCGAGGGAUAACUGAUGGAAAGAAUAAGGCGCGUGCUAUUUUUCGUCAACUCAAAUUACGUAAGUGCAGGACCACGGUGCAGUGUAGUUUCAGUUCAUCUUCUGAUGGGAAUGGAAGCAUGGCCGAGAAUUUCAACGAAAAUGAUGAAGACUACGUAAAUUCCAGUGUGCUUGAAGCUGUUGAGGUGAGGAGUGGAGCUGAUGGAUUCAUGAUUAAAAUGAGGGAUGGUAGGCAUUUAAGAUGCGUCCAUAACAAUCCUCAAGGUGGGCAUCUGCCGGAUUAUGCACCACACCCUGCCAUCGUUCUGAAGAUGGAAGAUGGGACCGGUCUUCUUCUCCCAAUCAUUGUUUUGGAGAUGCCAAGUGUGUUGCUCAUGGCAGCAGUGCGCAAUGUCCAAAUUGCUAGACCUACCAUGUAUCAAGUUGUGAAGGACAUGAUUGACAAGAUGGGCUACACGGUAAAGCUUGUUAGAGUUACUAAAAGAGUGCAUGAGGCCUAUUUUGCUCAGUUGUACCUCACAAAGGUAGGUGAUGAGUCAAAGUCUGUCAUUUUUGACCUCAGGCCUUCUGAUGCCAUCAACAUUGCCGUGAGAUGCAAGGUAUCUAUACAAGUGAACAAGUACUUGGCAUACAGUGAUGGGAUGCGAGUGAUUGAGUCAGGGAAACUAUCAAUGCAGUCUCCAGCUUCAAAUGGGAUAUUAUUCACUGAACUGGACCGGCCAAGUGGUCAGCAUUGUCUUGAUACAGAGGAAUUUAAUAUGGUCUGCAAAUUAAAUGAGGCUAUCAAUCAGGAACGCUACAAGGAUGCUGCUGACUUGAGAGACAAACUUCGUAAAUUCCGGGCUCAAAGGAAGCUGAGGAAAUAUACAUAACAGUUGUCCCUGGUGACUUCAAUUGUAAAUAGGAAUUAUUAUUGGAAGCUGAUAAAUUGGAUGGUGGCUGGCUACGUAGAGCAGCAAUCAGUUUUCUUAAUCUUCGGCCAAAGAUGCAUGAUUUUGGGUGGUCAUCUGGAUCUGGUCAUGGUGGAUUUCUGGGGCAAAUGACCAAUAAAAGCCGUUUUGUUUUCAAAAUUUACCGAAAUGGGCCGAUUUUUUGAUUAUUUACCGGAAUGGGCCAUUUUUCGCGAAACUGCGUCCACGUCAGCGCGAUGUCAGGGUAUGUGUCAGGACAUCGCGUCCACGUCAGCGUGAUUUGCUUACGUGGACACAAAUCGCGCCUACGAGGACGCGAUUUGCUGACGUGGAUGAACAAUUUAUGUUUUUAAGCUUGGAAAACUUUGAAAGUCCAUAACUUUUCGCUCAGUUGUCCGAUUGAGACGUUUUUUUUUUGAUUUCGAAUAACUUUUUGAGAUCUACGCGCUGACAAACAGCCGAAGGCGGUUUGCCGCAGUUUUCGUCGAAAAAGAUCCUUUUUUGCCCCUAAAUUUUGAUUUUUUCGGUUUAAAAUUGAAUUUUGAAACAUUCAAAUUAUUAUUUUCCUUAUUUAUUUGAAGUAAACACCGGAUCUUUUUUUACAGAAUUGUCUUAUAUCAUCCUGUUAUAGGUAUAAGUCAGCUUAUUCCACUUUUGAGAAGUUCCCUAAAAUUUUCCAUUUUAUUCAAUUUAGUCCCUAAAACCUAAAUAGUCAUAUUUUCAACUCUAAGCUUCGUUUUUCAAUUCAAAUUCAAUUUCAUCCUUCCAUAACAUUCAAAUAUUCUUAAAUACAAAAAUUUCAUGCUAAUUUUGAAAUAAUUACACUUUAGUCCCUAUACUCGUAACUAACAAAUUAUACUUUACAAAUUAGUCUUUAUUAAUCUCUAAGCAGUUUGUUAGCGUGUAGAUCUUGAAAAGUUAUUCGAAAUCAAAAAAAAAUCGUCUCAAUCGGACAACCGAGCCAAAAGUUAUGGCCUUUCAAAGUUUUCCAAGCUAAAAAACAUAAAUUGAUGCCACGUCAACAAAUCGCGUCCUAAAGGGCGUGAUUUGUGUCCACGUCAGCAAAUCGCGCUUACGUGGACGCGAUUUCCUGGCGCGUACCCUGACAUCACGUUGACGUGGACGCGAUUUCGCGGAAAAUAGACCAUUCCGGUAAAUAAUUAGAUAAUUAGCCUAUUUCGGUAAUUUAAAAAAAAAAAGCUUUUUUGGUCAUUUGCCCGGAUUUCUGUUCAAUAAAUUUUUAUAGUGAUUUUCUGAUAAUUAGAAAUAUGUCGUAGCUAAAAUGUAAGUUGAAGAGCCAUCACAUCAGUAGAAAAUGAAAUUCUUUAAUAGGAUUAAUAUCACCCAUUGAAAUUUCACAGGUUUAAAGUCUAUAUGAAAAAAGAAAAAGUUUAAAAAAAACAUAAAUGUUAAAUCAUGUGAUAUUAGUUUUACUUAAAAUUAAAAUUUAUGUUUACUUAUUUGAAUAUUAAAAAAAAAAGAAAAUAGUUGAUGUUCAUAUAAACAGAACGACAUGGUUGGAGGGAUAGAAACAGAAAUGGUAUUGUAAAAAAAAAUUAGUUUCCUGGGAUUCCACUAUUCUUUGGAUUAUUUUUUACGAGUAACUUGUAAAA
Gossypium raimondii (Peruvian cotton) is the source of this 2953-nucleotide RNA transcript. It is a transcript of the gene named bifunctional nuclease 1, with no coding region annotated. NCBI's taxonomy places the organism in Eukaryota, Viridiplantae, Streptophyta, Magnoliopsida, Malvales, Malvaceae. The record is from RefSeq and is a predicted model, not a curated record. The transcript is spliced from 12 exons.